This 799-nucleotide long non-coding RNA is filed under the name Vigna radiata. RNAcentral's name for it is "long non-coding RNA (VRAD_LNC000795)". The record is from RNAcentral. Lineage: Eukaryota; Viridiplantae; Streptophyta; Magnoliopsida; Fabales; Fabaceae.
UUAUUUUGUCACCUUAUUUACACGGUAAAAUAUGACAUUUUCUGAUGGAAUCCUCUCCUAGCAUAAAGCACACAAGAAGAAGCUCCAAAACAGAGAUGCAGCGGAAUGGAAAUUGGUGCAGUGAAAUGGAUGAUUCAUAGAAGGUGUUUGAUGAAAGUUUGGAUGAAGGUGUGGUGUGUGUAUGAUGCCUCCAAGCUCAGACGGCCUUCCUACUAAGGAAGGAAGCUAGAGGAGAGUAUCUGAAUUCCAAAUUCAGAGGUGACUAAGGGAUAUAAGAGGCUGAGCAAGCAACUCUGCAGCAUUUCAUUACAUCCAAAAGUGAUUUCAUAUGCCAAUACAUCUCAUAUUUAUAGUGGAAGACCUAUACUAUUAAUGAUGCAGAUGACAACGGUGGAGGUGCAACAAAUGCUUCAGCCAAAUCACGUAUCAUUUGCUUGUGACGUUGCAACAGACUCACACCAACGUGGGAGUCAUGUGUUUUCAUGAUGCAACUCCUUCAUUACUAAGCUCACCCCCUCCCUUUGUGUAAAAUGACUUCUUUAUCCUUCUUCUUGGGUUGGUUUGGUCCAUGCUAAGUCAUCUAGUUGAUCCAUGAUCUCCUAGCUUUAUUAGACCUACAAAACACAUAUAAACAUAUUAAAGAGAAUCCUUCUAAGACUUAGAAAAAGAAAAUCAAGAAAGAGCUUUUAAUAGUCCUUCUUCACUUCCCUUUCUUAGCCUUAGCUUUAGUUGAUACUCCUUUGAAUGGAAUGCCCUCAAUGGGUUUCCAUCAUUUUCUCCAUGCCUUAAUUUUUUUUCU